AUUGAACGCUGGCGGCAGGCUUAACACAUGCAAGUCGAGCGGAGAUGAGGUGCUUGCACCUUAUCUUAGCGGCGGACGGGUGAGUAACGCUUAGGAAUCUGCCUAUUAGUGGGGGACAACAUUCCGAAAGGAAUGCUAAUACCGCAUACGUCCGACGGGAGAAAGCAGGGGAUCUUCGGACCUUGCGCUAAUAGAUGAGGCUCAGUCGGAUUAGCGAGUUGGUGGGGUAAAGGCCUACCAAGGCGACGAUCUGUAGCGGGUCGGAGAGGAUGAUCCGCCACACUGGGACUGAGACACGGCCCAGACUCCUACGGGAGGCAGCAGUGGGGAAUAUUGGACAAUGGGGGGAACCCUGAUCCAGCCAUGCCGCGUGUGUGAAGAAGGCCUUAUGGUUGUAAAGCACUUUAAGCGAGGAGGAGGCUACUGAGACUAAUACUCUUGGAUAGUGGACGUUACUCGCAGAAUAAGCACCGGCUAACUCUGUGCCAGCAGCCGCCGUAA
This 501-nucleotide ribosomal RNA is filed under the name uncultured bacterium. RNAcentral's name for it is "partial 16S ribosomal RNA". It matches the Rfam family "Bacterial small subunit ribosomal RNA", at positions 30 to 523 of the family's 1533-position model. The record is from RNAcentral.